Molecule: ribosomal RNA, 2538 nt
Filed under: Triticum aestivum (bread wheat)
Lineage: Eukaryota; Viridiplantae; Streptophyta; Magnoliopsida; Poales; Poaceae
Description: partial small subunit ribosomal RNA
Source: RNAcentral
AUGGUGAUGGCCUUUCUAAGGCUGGUGGCGGCAUGGGACACCUCCUCCACCUCCAGAUUGGGUUCAAUCCAACUCAUCGAGGGCUACGUGCAGCGACUCUUUCGGAUGCACCAAGUCAUGCAUGUUGCCGACAGGCGAGGUGGCAUGGGACAUCUUUGUGUUGUGGUAUCUUCUCUAGAGGUAUCCUGCUAUCGAGGCCUCGGUAGGAGAACAAGGGAUGAUAGUAGAGGCUGCUUCAACCCGCUUCCGGUGAAACACAAGAUCUACAAUCAGGCUAUGUCGACGCGCAUGUACGUCAUGUCCUUGUUGAAGAUGAUGGAUUUAAGCUCGGCUUUGGGAAUGAAAAUUCUGAGACCGACCUAUGGUUGGACUCAGUGGCGGAGACAUGGGACCAGCAGGGCCCCUGGCCCCCCUAACACCAGAGGGCGGCGACGCGCAUGGAGGAGGAGAGAAUGGAGAGGCGUGGAGGAUAGGCGGGCGAGCUGGAAGGGCCGGCACGUCGCCCACGACACAGAUGAGACCAACGGCGGCCUUGCAGGGGCGCGUUGGCGAGGACCUUUCGAAUCUCACCGAAUCCGAUGGGAAAUGGCGCGCAGGCAACGGAGAGAGAUGAGUGGGAGAGAAAAGGGAGGCCGGGAGGAAGGAGAUGGGACGCUGGAGGGAGAGAAAGGAGCCGUGAGGUGCGUUGUGGUCCUGCUGCUGCCCGCCGGCGGCUCGGCGGCAAUCGGCGCGAGGUGGGGGCUCUGUCCGGCGGUUUCCCAGAACAUCGACUACCGGAAGGCCAAGGAAGAGCGGUGGAUGGCUGCACUGGCGGAGUUUAGUGUAUUGCUAGAGGGGCUGUGGCCCCCCAGCCUUGGACAAUUUUCCCCCCAAGCAUUCUGGUGUAGCUCCGCCACUGGAUGGCUGGCAGCGCCUUCAAGCUCAUACAGAUCGACUAGGAGUUCAACAUCUUCCACGAUCAUCUGUGACCCCGUGUCAUCACAUCAUGUUUCCCCGCGUCGUCCUCCCCCUAGGGCGACUUGGGCGGCCAGAAACCUAGCCGUCUCCGCGCAAACUCCCUCCUCCUCUCCCUCCGCCGUCGCCAGAAGACGCCGCCGGGCUAAGCCCGAGGGCCGACGGCGGUGGCGGGGGAUCUCCUCUCUCGCGCGUCUCCGGGGUGGGGCGGACCACAAAGCGUGUGGUGGCGCGACCGAUCUGGGAUCUGCGGCGCGGCGGAUGGCUGCAGGCGGCGGGAGGCCGUCCCGUCCUCGGACGGCGACGGCUUGGCGCGGCGGAGGCCAGGGCUGCGGGCGCUGCGUAUGGCCCUUCGGGCGGCGGCGGCGGCUGCGGUCGGUGGCGGCCGGCUUGGCGGCGGUGGUUUUGAGCCACAAUCUGUAUCUACCGGCAAAGCUAUCAUCUGACGGCAAACAUGGUGGCCUUCCUCUCAUCAUUGCAAUUGAUCUGCAACCGUUGGCUCCGAUAGAAGGUGUUAUACAGGUGCAGGGCAACAUCAUCAAUGCUCGGACAGCGGAAGUGGUUAUCAGGCACUUUGAUGGAUGUAAAGCAGACUUGGUUGUCUGUGAUGGCGCCCCUGAUGUUAAGCUUGCAUUGCUAGAGAAGUGGUCCAUAACCAUCUUACAUGUGCUAAAGAUACUUCUGUUUCUUACUUUGCUUUGGAUGAUUGCAUUUACUGGACUUCAUGAUAUGGACGAGUUUGUUCAGUCCCAGCUUAUAUUGGCGCUUAGAAUCCUCACCUACGACAGUUCUCCUGGUGACCAUCCACCCGAAGUUCAUCUCCCUACCACUCUGUUCAGUACUUCUCUCCCCCAUACACCCUUGGCAGAUCCACCUGUCUCUCUCAUCUUACUCACAACUGAUUGUUGUUGUUUUGCUGCAGAGUUUGUGACAGAACAGAGAAUUGUUACAGCUCAGAUCAUAGACAAAUCUUAUGUUGCAACAACAGGUUUGGAGGUUAUGCUGAGAAUUAAAAUGUCAAGGCAAGGGCGUGCACUUUUCACUAUCAAUCUUAGAGUAAGCGCCUGCAGGAUGUGCAUGCUACUUCUGAAAAAAGAAACCUCUCUGUUGGCUGGCAUCCCUGGUGGUAGUUUUACAUAUCUAGCAAAUGAAAGGGCACCUCAUAAUACAUUGGAUAUAGACUGUACCACUGGUCUUGGGGUUCAGAUUCUGUCAAUAUCAAAAUCUAGAAAUUCUGCUACCCAACAGGAUGGUUUGCCAACUGCUGUUAAGGUCAGAAAUUCUGCUACCCAACAGGAUGGUUUGCCAACUGCUGUUAAGCAUUGGAAUUUGCUGGAGCGGCCCGAUGUAGCGGCUGCCAUGGACGGAGGCCUUGCGCUUGGCCGGCACGCCGAUGCAGAGGAGGCGCGAGGGAGAGGAGAGGAGCACGGGGAAGAAGGAGGCGGCGGAGAAGGGUUCGUCACCGGCGUGGCAGCGCUCUCCGGUCUGAGCGGCUUGCGGGAUCGGGGCAAGGAGCGCUCGCUCCUCUGUGUGUUGUGUGCAUGUGACACGACGCGAGGGGAUCUAGAGGGUUCGAGGGGAUAG